AUGAACGCUGGCGGCGUGCCUAAUACAUGCAAGUCGAGCGAACAGACGAGGAGCUUGCUCCUCUGACGUUAGCGGCGGACGGGUGAGUAACACGUGGAUAACCUACCUAUAAGACUGGGAUAACUUCGGGAAACCGGAGCUAAUACCGGAUAAUAUAUUGAACCGCAUGGUUCAAUAGUGAAAGACGGUUUUGCUGUCACUUAUAGAUGGAUCCGCGCCGCAUUAGCUAGUUGGUAAGGUAACGGCUUACCAAGGCAACGAUGCGUAGCCGACCUGAGAGGGUGAUCGGCCACACUGGAACUGAGACACGGUCCAGACUCCUACGGGAAGCAGCAGUAGGGAAUCUUCCGCAAUGGGCGAAAGCUUGACGGAGCAACGCCGCGUGAGUGAUGAAGGUCUUCGGAUCGUAAAACUCUGUUAUUAGGGAAGAACAAAUGUGUAAGUAACUAUGCACGUCUUGACGGUACCUAAUCAGAAAGCCACGGCUAACUACGUG
Molecule: ribosomal RNA, 496 nt
Filed under: uncultured bacterium
Lineage: Bacteria
Description: partial 16S ribosomal RNA
Rfam family: Bacterial small subunit ribosomal RNA
Source: RNAcentral